This is a non-coding RNA of Callithrix jacchus (white-tufted-ear marmoset), 10099 nucleotides long. The record is from RefSeq and is a predicted model, not a curated record. Lineage: Eukaryota; Metazoa; Chordata; Mammalia; Primates; Cebidae.
UAAAAGUACAAAAAAAAAAUAGCCCAGCAUGGUGGCGCACGCCUGUAAUCCCAGCUAUUCGGGAGGCUGAGGCAGGAGAACUGCUUGAAGAGGUGGAAGUUACAGUUAGCCAAGAUCCUGCCACCACACUGCAGCCUGAGGGACAGCGUAAGACUCCAUCUUGAAAAAAAAAAAAAGCUAAUAAACGUAUCUACCUGAAUGAGCCUCCUGCCGAGCAAACUCACUGAAGUUUAAAACGGAACCUAAGGGCCAGGCAUGGAGGCUCACAGCUUUUAAUACCAGCACUUUGAGAGGCCAAGGUGGGAGGAUCACUUGAGCCUGGGAAGUUGAGGCUGCAAUGAGCUGUGAUUGUGCCACUGUACUCCAAAGUAGGUGACAGAGCAGGAUCCUGUUUUUUUUGUUUGUUUGUUUUUAACAAAAACAAAACCCAAGGCUGGGCACAGUGGCUCACACCUGUAAUCCCAGAACUUUAGGAGGCAGAGGUGGGUAAGGUCAGGAGUUCGAGACCAGGCUUGCCAAUUUGGUGAAACACCAUAUCUACUAAAGAUUCAAAAAUUGGCUGGGUGUGGUGGCACUCGCUUGUAGUCCCAGCUACUUGGGAGGCUGAGGCAGAAGAAUCACUUGAACCCAGGAGGCGGAGGUUGCAGUGGACCAAACCCAAAACAACAAACAAAAAGAAACAAAAAACUGAACCUAUCAACUUCCCCUCCAACAACAAACCUGACCUUCCCUCAUCUCUUGGUCUUGAGCCUGGGAACCCUCUUCUCCAAACUUAAGACUACCUCACCUCCCUCCCACAUCUAAGCAGCUGCUACAUCCUGCUCUCUUUAACUCUGCCAUAUCCCUCCUUAUACACAUCUCUCCUUUCCAAUGACCCUAUCACACCACACCCCCAUGUGAAUUUCAGUCCUCAUCACUUUGCACCUUUUCUGCUAGCAUCUAGUGCCCUAUCUAGUCCUUUCUCUCUCUGCUUCACUCUACCCAAGUGGCCAUGUUAUGCUUCCAAAAGCACGUCUCUGACAUCUUUCCUAAAUAAACAAACUUUAGUGGUUUCUGCAAAGGUCCAAGCUCCCUGACCUGACAUUUGAAGGGCAACCUGAUUCCCCACUUCUCCCCUGCACUUAAGCCACGUCCUAGCCUCACUCCUGCUCCACGUGCCUGCACAGACCUCCAGGUCCCCUGCCUUUGACACUGAGUUCAUGCCAGUCCCACCAACUCUCCCCAGUCUCCACAACUGAACACUUAACUCAAAUGCCAACCUCUCCUCUAAUCCCUUUAAGAAGAAACAACCUCCCCCUUCUCUAAUGCCCACAUUACUGUACCUUUCUUGUGCCACUAUCACUUUCACCAUUCAUUAUGGAUCUAAUGACUCCCUUACACACCAGAGGAGGGACCAUGUUAUGGUUCUAUCUUUAAAGCCCUUUGCCUGCCUCUAGUUAAAAGACUUACAUGUGGCCAGCACUCAACAAAUAGUAGUUGAAGAAUAAAUGAAAGAUCACACUCAUGAGACAAAGCCAGCCGAUCUGUUUGCUAGACCAAUCGUGAUCAGCACACUAGGUAAGUAUGCAUGGAAAGAAUGGUAGAGAGGCAGCUCUGGCAAGAGAGAAGAGAUGACUGCUGACCCCACAUCAAGGAAGGGGCGAGGAAAACUAAGAAGCAGCUGAGGCAGCAGUAGAGAGGGAGUGCAACACCAGAGGCGGCAAUGAACCCAAAGCCUCAAGAAUGGGUCAGCUUCCUGCAGGCGAGAGAGGAGAAUCCACUUGAUAAAACUUCCUGUCAUCAAAGGUUAGGGGCAAGGGCCUUUGACAGCUGCAAGGGAAGCUUUUCGUCAUUUAGAAAAUUCAUUUAUGUGAAACAGAUCAUUUCUCAAUGAUGGCAAGUUAAUGAGGCAUCCUGAAUCUACCCUUAAACUCAGUCCUUGGAUGAGUAUAACUAAACUCCAGACACCAAAAGAAAUAUCAGAAUGACAAAAGCCAGAAGACCAAAAAGAUAUACAGACUUUUUUUUCUCCAUAAUGAAGGAGGCCUAUUUAAGCUAGUACCUUAAAAAAAUAGAUAAGGGGUGGCCAUCAGAUAGGUUUUGGCUAAAUCACUUUCAUUAUUAAUUGAGUGAAAAUAUAAACAACAUGAUAAGUAAGUUUUACUCCACAUAUUUAACAUUCUAAAUCCAACAAUGAGCAAAUCCACAUUCUUCACAGGUGCAAACAAAACAUUUAUGCAAAAUAACCAUACACCACUCCACAAAGAAAGUCUCUACAAAUUUCAAAGAUAUGUAUCUUUCAAAACCUUUGAAGUCUUAGAGAUUUAAGUCUAUAGGCUGUGAGAAUAUGUCCUAAGGGAAAAAACCCUUUCAGUUUUAAAAUAAUGAUCAAUAAGAAUAUAAAUUUCACUGACUCUGCCUAACCAACAGGCCAACAUUUGGUCACAGUAUAAUUAAUUUCACCCUUAAUGUUACUGUUGAAAGUAUUUAAAUGCCCAGGCACUGACUCCAACCCACACAUUCCUCCCUGAUCCCACAUUCUGAGUAGAUCAGGUAUUUUCACACUUGGUUCAUCUUCAGUGAAGACUGUAAUGAAAUCUUUAAUUUGAAAAAAAAAAGAGUGGAAGUCCAGCACUCACUGCAUUAUUGGCUGCCCUGGAAGCUCAGGGCAAAGAGCAGUCAAACAACAAAUGGCAACCUCAGCUCCUUCAAGCAUAAGUAAUCUGCUAAUUUCAGAAACUACCAGCUCAUCUAAAAAGUGACCAAUUUACAUGUAAAAAUGCUUUCCGUGGUUAGGUGCAAGCUUCCUGGGAAUCGGAAAUGUUAUUUUCAUUGCACAAACUCUCAGGUUUAUGGGCUGCCUGGCCUUUUGAUUAUACCAUCAUUUUAAAAGUAUAAAUUUUAGAACAAGUUUUAUUUCAUGUCCAAGAUGUUGGAAGAGGCCUCUUUGGGAGCCAAGUACUCUCAGGAAGACAAUGACUACUGUUAGUCCUUUUUAUUUCUUAAUCUGUCUCCACAACCAGCUAAAACUCAAGCAUAAAAGAAGGCAGUGUGGUGCUAAUUUGGUUAGUUAAUUCACAGACUGUUUACUGAGCAUCUGCUCUGUGCCCAGCACUGUUUUAGAUACAAGGGAUAUGACUGUGAAUAAAACAAGGCUCUGUUCUCAGAAGAAAAACACCUGUAAUCAGACACACCUGGGAUUACAUUCUGGCUGGGUCACUUACUAGUUAUGUCACCCUGGGCAAUUAUGUAACAGCUCUGAGCUUCAAUUCCUCACCUACUAAAGGAAAACAACAAUGUUAAAGGCUGUUGUGAUUUAAAAAGGAAAUACAGCAUAGCAAGCUCCUUAGCUCAGAACAGGCAUGGAAUAAAGACUGGCACCCUCCCUUCCCGAAAUAAGAGAGCAGAUAAUCAUCAAGUGCUUCAAACUGGCACCAGGGACCACCUGAAACAGCAUCAGAAGAAGGUAUCCUGUGCCCUCUGGUCCACUCCCAGGGUCUCCUCUCUGCCAAAUUACAACUUAUACCCUCCUUCAAUCUGUUCCAGGACAGUUCUAUUCUUGGAGUAUACCGCUUGGAGCUCUUCAAAGAAAAGCAUCCAAUUAAACUAAUUCACCCAAGAGGUACAUGUAAGCUUCAAGCUGCCAACCCUCUUGAUAUUUUCAUUUGAAAGACAAAGCUCUAGAUACUGCAGAGUUGUCAUAUUUGGGGGCAGGGCAAAUUGCUAAAGUGUCAUCUCUACAUUAAGUAUACAGAAUGCACUGCUAGGUAAGUGGAUAAAUCAAGUUUCAUUUUUACCACCUCGAGUUUUCAUAAUUUACAGGAAAAACACAUUCUUGCUGAUCAAGGUUACUGUCCAUGUCUGGUUUGUGUUUCCAGCUUACCAGAGGCUCAGCCUUUCAAAGUGAUUUACCAGUGAGCUAAUCUCAAAAUCAUCAUCAGUUUCUCUUUAACUCUGCCUUUCAGCUUAACUGGAAUGUAGUCCUUACAGCCAAACAGAAAUGAUUGGUGUUUAAAGAAGAAUAUAUAUCAAAAUAAAUUUAUUUUUCUGCUAGCAGUUAACACUCAUGUUGUCUAGUGCUUCAGUGAGACUCUAGGAUGUAAUUAUUUGUCAGAAAUUUUAAUAAAAUGAACUUUUAAUUAUUUCCAUUAGGAAAUAUUACUAGUUGUAAUACUGAAUCAAAUAAAAUUGAGAGAAAAGGCAAAGACACAAAUAUUAGCAUUAGUUAACUAAUAUGCCUGGUAGUAAGGGGGAUAUACUUUCUAUAAUCCUAAACCAAGGUCAUCCAUUUAUUUAAAAAGCACUUACAACUUUCUAUAUUAAAACAACUAUGAAACAAUAAAGGAUGAAACAUUUUUGUAAUAACAAAAAGUGAUAGAGACAGAAAGCAUGGAUAAAAGGAUAUCCAAGAAAACAGAGUCAUUGCUGGAAACACUGCUUUUCACUUGAACUGUAGGAGUGAGCUGCUUUCUUUAAUGAGUGGGGGCUAGGAGAUGCUGGGGAAAUGAAACGGGAAUUCUUAGGAAGGCUCAUCUACCAGCCUAAGGCAGGAGCUGGUAAAUGCUGACUUGGGGAAGCAGGCUUGUGAAAUGCAGCUCAGCCCACAUUAUUUAUUAGCAUAAUUAUUAAUAAUAAUUACUAUCAUUCAUUGAGCCCCUAUCAUGUUCCAGGCAUUGUACUUUAUCAUCUUCACAAAAACCCUUUGGGGAGGUGGAUAUAACGUCAUUACUUGACAGAUUUUAAAAACAGACUCAGAGAGGGUGAUUAACAUGCCCAAGCUCACACAACUGUGGGCCAGAAUUUGAGUAUCAGAGCCAGAAUUCGUGCUCAGGACCUGAAUCCAGGACUGUUCCCAAGAAGCCACAGUGCAUCACAACAUGCUUGCUGGUUGUAGUCAUCACGCUGCCUCCUGCUGACCCAGAGAGCCCCCUGCAGUGAGCUUUCCUCCUCUUCACAUCCACAAGUUUGUUGCCCAAGUAUCUCUUCAGAUAGUUAUGAUUUUGCUGCAAAAAGACAGCUUUCAAGUCUAAGGCAUAAACUGAGUUGCAGGCUUGGCCUUCUAAAAAUGAACUGAACAAGGAAAUAUCCAAGAGACCCAAUCCCCACAUCUUUCAAUCUGCUUUCCAAGCAGAAGACACUUCUGCAAUAAAACUACUAUGUGAUCCAAGAAUGCUGCUUCUGAGUGUAUAUCCAAAGAACUGAGUGUAUAUCCAGAGAUAUCUGCACACCCAUAUUUACUGCAGCUUUAGUCACAGUACCCAAGGAAGGCAUGGAAGCAACUUACGAGUCCACUGACAGACAGAUGAAUAUGGACAAUGCGCUAUAUGCAUACAAUGGAAUAUAGUUCAGCAUUAAAAAGAAGGAAAUCUUGCCAUUUGCAACAUGAAUGAACCUGGAGGACACCGUGCUAAGUGAAAUAAACCAGACUUGGAAGGACAAGUACUAUAUGGUUUCCACUUACAUGAGAAAUCUAAAAUAGUUAAACUCAUAGAAGCAGAGUAGAAUGGUGGCUACCAGGGCUGAGGGAAACGGAAAACAGGGAAGUGCUUAAAGGGUACAGAGUCUCUGCCAGGUGCAGUGUCUCAUGUCUGUAAUCCCAGCACUUUGGGAGGCCAAGGCAGGCAGAUCACGAAGUCAGGAGUUUGAGACCAGCCUGGCCAAGACAGUGAAACCCCGUCUCUACUGAAAAUACAAAAAAAAAAAAAAACCUAGGUGGGCACUUAUAGUCCCAACUACUCAGGGAUCUAAGGCAGGAAAAUCUAUUGAAUCCAGGAGGCAGGCAUUGCAGUGGCCUGAGAUUGCUCCACUGCACUCCAGCCUGGGCAACAGAGGAAGCUCUCUUCUCAAAAAGAAAAAAAAGGGGGGGGGUACAAAGUUUCAGUUACACAAGAUAAAUCCUAGAAAUGUGUACAGUUUGGUGCCUGCAAUUAACAAUACUGUAUUUACUCACAAAGUUGUAUACAUUAAAUAAGAACAGCUUUCCGUAUUGUCAAUCAUACUUAAGUGUUUUGUGGGGUUCCCCCCCAUCCCCUGAGAGAGGGUCUUGCUCUCCCAGGCUUGCAGUUUCAAACUCCUGGACUCAAGCGAGAUCCUCCUGCCUCAACCUCCCAAGUAGCUAGCACUACAGGCAUAUGUCACCAUGCUGCCUAAUUAUUUUAUUUUUUGUAGAGAAAGGCUUCGUUGUCCAGGCUGGUCUUAAACUCCUGGCCUCAAGGGAUUACAGGUGUGAGCCACUGCACCUGGCAAGUGUUUUUUUUGUUUGACACAAAGUCUCACUCUGUUGCUCAGGCUGGAGUGCAGUGGUGUGAUCUCCGCUCAGUGCAACCUCCACCUCCCAGGUUAAAGUGAUUCUCCUGUCUCAGCCUCCCGAGUAGCUGGAACUACAAGCAUCUACCACCAUGCCCGGCUAAUUUUUUUUGUAUUUUUUAGUAGAGACAGGGUUUCACCAUUUUGACCAGGCUGGUUUCAAACUCCUGACCUUAAGUGAUUCGCCCACUUCGGCCUCCUAAAGUGCUAGGAUUACAGACAUGAGCCACCGUGCCUGGCCUAUUUUGUUUUUAAAGGGAGAGACUUUAAGGGCCCAUCGUGUGAUUUGGUGAAGUAAAGUGUUGGAUGGCCACUCAUCUGUUUGCUGCCUUGAAGAUUCUGAGUGUUUCAGUAAACACAGUUUAAGUUGCUUGGUAAAAUUCCAGGUUUUCUUUUAAAUCAACCUCUUGCUGUGGAGCCUUCUGGGUCCCAACACAGCAGAGCACAGAGGACAGAUGGUCUGUCCUGGGCCAGUGGAGACACUUCCAACAGGCCGUGGAGAGGAUGUUAGGGCAUCUAUUGGUAGUCUGAAAUGGAACCAUAGGGUCUGGGAAUUUGAAGUACCAGACACCCAGAUGUCAGAGUGUUCUCAAGAAAUCUUAUUUUUCCCAGUAGUUUCAUGUCCCUGUGGAGAGGAGAGGAGAAACAAGAGGCCAAAUAAUCUUCCUAAUAUAAAAGCUUUGCUUUUCCCUUCAUCUGAAUUAAGAUAAUGAAGAGAAAAACUAUUCAUUAAAGCACACUUUCAACAGAGGGGAGGAGAGUGGGCCUGAGCAAGCAGGGGAUGGUUUACAACCAAGGCAGGCUCUGCCCCACAGGCCUCAAGCUCCCCACUGUGUUCCCAAAGCACACAGCAGCAGCGCACCGAAGGCCCACAUUCUGUGCAAAUCCAUACAGGUGUGUUUUCAGCGUAGAUAAGUAAUUACCCAAUUCCACCUCAUGUGACCUCCCAUGAAGUUAGGGUGGAGAAAAUGAAAAAUGAACUGAUUCACCCCAGCAAGCUCCAGCGCCUCCCGGUCAGCAGCAGCGAGGGCUCCUGGAACAUCUAACAGAAACACUGCAUGGCUGACCCCAGGCCCAGUGCUGGGAGAAAGCCAUUCAUCAAAGAAACUAACAUAGAGUCCAGCUCCGGCUCAAAUCUAUAACUCCAGCGACAGGAAAUGGUUAGUAGUACAAUAAUAAAACUUGACUUCAGACAGUAUGUGUCUUGAAGGGCUAUGCCAUCCCCUUGUCGUCUCUGGGGCCUCAGUUUCCACAUCUAAAGUAAAGGGGUUAGUUGGGAGGCGGAGGCUACAGUGAGCCCAGAUCGCACCACUGCAUACCAGCCUGGGUAGCAGAGCGAGACUACGUCUCGAAAAAAUAAAAUAAAAAUAAAGUGAAGGGGUUGAGCUCCGUGACCUCUAACUUCUCUUCCAGAAUUUAAAUUCUAUCAUUUUGAUAUGAUUUCUCCAAUCUCCAUUUCUUUUAAUCUCUUAAGGUUUGAGGCCUGCUUAAAGUCAGAAUAAAUGGAGUACAAAACAAGAGUGGAUAAUUUAGCAUUGAGUAAUUACUUCUGAAGCAAGAAAUUAUAAGCUUUCCUUCCUUAAUAGAGACAUUAGGCCGGGCACGGAGGCUCAAGCCUGUAAGCACUUUGGGAGGCCGAGGCGGGUGGAUUACAAGGUCGGCAGAUCGAGACCAUCCUGGUCAACAUGGUGAAACCUCGUCUCUACUAAAAAUUACAAAAAAUUAGCUGGGCACGGUGGCGUGUGCCUGUAAUCCCAGCUACUCAGGAGGCUGAGGCAGGAGAAUUGCCUGAACCCAGGGGGCGGAGGUUGCAGUGGGCCGAGAUUGCGCCAUUGCACUGCAGCCUGGGUAACAAGAGCGAAACUCCGUCUCAAAAAAAAAAAAAAAUAGAGACAUUAAUGUUUUCUGUCGAUAAUGGACCAGGCCAGGGGUGUUCAACCUUUUGGCUUCCCUGGACCACAAUGGAAUAAUAAUAAUUGUCUUGGGCGACACAUAAAAUGCACUAACACCAACAGCAGCGACGAGCUUUAAAAAAAAAUCGCAAAAUGAUCUCAUAAUGUUUUAAGAAAGUUUACAAAUUUGUGUUGGGCCACAUUCAAAGCCAUUCUGGCCACAUGUGGCCGUGGUCCCAUGGGCUGAACUAGCUUGGACUAGGCUCUUUCCAUUUACUGGAAUUCAGCCACUAAAUGGGGUAGGGUUACAUUCCUCCAUCCUUCAGCUGCUAUUGCUUCAAGUGACAAAAUGACAGCCUCUGCCUCAUAAUAAACUGCCAAUCAUGUAACUGGUCAAAAUCAAAUCAUUAGCUAAUUCUGCAUAAUGAAUUUCCUAACAUUGUUGGUUUUUUGGUAUCUUGAUGGGCACAGUCUAUGAAUCCGGACCUUGCAUUGUCAGGCACUGCUCUUUUGUGUGCAUCUCUACUACUGCCAGUGUAACCUUUCAUACCUGGACGUACACACCCAAUGGCACAGAAAGGACAUAUUCCCCAACCUUUCCUACCAAGGAGAUAGCACAUUUUUUAGCCCAAUUGGAAACACAGUUCUCCCCACACCGUGUCAACAAGAGAGAAGGGUGGAAUUGCCUUUUGCUUUCUGGUUUUAUUUUGGGGAGAUUGCCUAGUAAUGACAAAGCAGCUACAAGGAAGGAAAGUCGCAAGGCUCUUUACCAGCACCUCUGUUUGUAAAAGAGCCAGCGUUUUUAUGUGGAGAUUGAUUGGGAUUCAGUGUGAGGUGGCUGUUAGGCAGAGAUGAACUAUGCCGGGGCUUGUCUUAUGACCUGUGACCCACUCUUGUUCUUUGCUUGCAGGGGGAGGAGAGAGCCAUGGUAGAUGAAAUGGUCCAGUUACCUGGCACUUCAGGCCCUGCACAGAUGUUAGAUGGGCCACCUCCCUUACCACUCUGGUUCUGACAGAAAUGGAAAUAAAAACCACUACUAAACUCCAUUUCCCAUCCACCUGAUAGUCAAAAAUGUACAUGUUGGAUAAUACCGAAUUGCUAGGAACACACUGCUGCUAGGAAUGUAACUAGGUGCAGCCAGUUGUGGGGUUAAUUUGGCAGUAUUCAAUACACCUUUACUUGCAGGCUUUCAUCUCCCCAGAAAAACACCAGCACAAUUGUACAAAGAGAGGGCAGCAUUUGUUUGUCACAUCAAAACUAAGAAAAAUAACAUGACUGCCAAUAAAUAAGGAAAUUAACUAAUAAACCAUGAUCCAUCCAUCCAAUCUGUGGAAUAGUGCAGUAGUAAUAAUAAAGUACACCUACAUGUACUAAACAUGUAAGCUCUCUAAGACCAAGUGUCGAUUGAAAAAAGAAAGCGCUGAGGAAAAAUACAUUGACUACGACACCUCUUAUGUUAAAAAGCCAAGCAAACUGCAUUUCUACAGAAACAACAUAUGUAUGUAAUUUCAUAGCAAAAGGCCUGUAAUGGCACACAUCAAGAAUUUUGCUUUUGAGGCAACUGUUAAAAUAAAUAAAAUGAGGAAAAAGUAGGCCAUAACACAGUACUAUGCCAAGAUUAUAACUGGCAAAAAAAAAAAGUGUAUUUUUUUAAAGUAACUUGUCAGAAACUACAGAGAAUAAAAACAGCAGUGUUCUCUUCAUUUAAGAAAAAAAUAAAGCUGUCUUAACUAUACAUUGAGAAACACAUUCCGAAAAACCAGUUUUCCAGUUAUUUCUGACUGUUCUUUUAAAUCUCUGAUUUUAAAGGUAUUUCUUAGAUGAAUAAAAGUACAAAAGAUAGUAGUGUAGCAAGCUUCAUCUUGAUGAAAACAUUAAUGGCUGAUUGCAAAUUAUUAUGAAAGAUGAAAACAGGCCAGGUG